CGGUUACCAGGUGUGGUACCA
This 21-nucleotide non-coding RNA is filed under the name Arabidopsis thaliana (thale cress). Lineage: Eukaryota; Viridiplantae; Streptophyta; Magnoliopsida; Brassicales; Brassicaceae. The record is from RNAcentral.